RNA transcript from Propithecus coquereli (Coquerel's sifaka), 1037 nucleotides. It is a transcript of the gene named CCR4-NOT transcription complex subunit 7 pseudogene, with no coding region annotated. NCBI's taxonomy places the organism in Eukaryota, Metazoa, Chordata, Mammalia, Primates, Indriidae. The transcript has a single exon. The record is from RefSeq and is a predicted model, not a curated record.
AUGCCAGCAGCAACUGUGGAUCAUAGCCAAAGAAUUUGUGAAGUUUGGGCUUGCAACCUGGAUGAAGAGAUGAAGAAAAUUCGUCAAGUUAUUUGAAAGUAUAAUUAUGUUGUUAGGGACACCGAGUUUCCAGGUGUGGUUGCAAGACCCAUUGGAGAAUUCAGGAGCAAUGCUGACUAUCAGUACCAACUAUUGCGAUGUAUUGUAGACUUGUUAAAGAUAAUUCAGCUAGGACUGACAUUUAUGAAUGAGCAAGGAGAAUACCCUCCAGGAACUUCAAUUUGGCAGUUUAAUUUUAAGUUUAAUUUGAUGGAGGACAUGUAUGCCCAGGACUCUAUAGAGCUACUAACAACAUCUGGCAUCCAGUUUAAAAAACAUGAGGAGAAAGGAAUUGAGCCCCAGUACUUUGCAGAACUUCUUAUGACUUCGGGAGUGGUCUUCUGUGAAGGGGUCAAAUGGUUGUCAUUUCAUAGUGGUUAUGACUUUGGCUAUUUAAUCAAAAUCCUGACCAACUCUAACUUGCCUGAAGAAGAACUUGACUUCUUUGAGAUCCUUCGAUUAUUUUUCCCUGUCAUUUAUGAUGUGAAGUACCUCAUGAGGAGCUGCAAAAAUCGCAAAGGUGGAUUACAAGAAGUUGCUGAACAAUUGGAGCUGGAACGAAUAGGACCACAGCAUCAGGCAGGAUCUGAUUCACUGCUCACAGGAAUGGCCUUUUUUAAAAGGAGAGAAAUGUUCUUUGAAGAUCAUAUUGACGAUGCCAAAUAUUGUGGUCAUUUGUAUGGCCUUGGUUCUGGUUCAUCCUAUGUACAGAAUGGCACAGGGAAUGCAUAUGAAGAGGAAGCCAACAAGCAGUCGUGACAUGAAAUAGUCCUUUUAUUUUUAUUUUAUUUGAGCUACACACAUGCUUGUAUAUAGGUUUUAUCUCUGGUUGAAUCCUUGACAAUAGACAGUACCUUUCUUUUUUCCCUUUCAUAGCCCAUUUUAUUUUCUGCCUUUCAGUACUAAGUAUGACCAUUCCUAUCUCAGAUCUUAAUAAA